Molecule: long non-coding RNA, 523 nt
Filed under: Homo sapiens (human)
Lineage: Eukaryota; Metazoa; Chordata; Mammalia; Primates; Hominidae
Description: non-protein coding lnc-SSX1-3:1
Source: RNAcentral
UUACCUGUAGCCCUGGAGAGACGAAAAUGUAUUUACUUACUGUUCAUUGCUGAUGAAAUACACAUAGGAUUGGCCAGAACUGGUAGAUGGCUAGCUAUUGAUCAUGAAAAUGUCAGACCUGAUAUAGUCCUCCUUGGAAAGGCCUUUUCUGAGGGCUGAUACUCUGUGUCUGCAGUGCUGUGGGACGAUGACAUAAUGCUGAGCAUUAAGCCAGGCGACCAUGGGUCCACAUACGGUGGCAAUCCACUAGGCUGCAACAAAAUGGGUAUUCUCUUGAGAAAUGAACCCAUGAAGCUACCUUCUGAUGCUGUAACUGCUGUAAGAGGAAAAAUAAUUAUUAAUUUCUAUUGUUAUUAAAGAAACCAAAGAUUGUGAUGCUUGGAAGGUGUGUCUACGACUUCAAGAUUAUCCACUUCUGGCCAAGCCAACCCAUGGCGACAUCAUCAGGUUUCGCCUCCGCUGGUGGUGAAGGGGGAUGAGAUUCAAGUCCAGUGAAAUCAUUAACAAGGCCAUCUUGUCGUUC